UGGGGAAUUUUGGACAAUGGGGGAAACCCUGAUCCAGCCAUUCCGCGUGAGUGAAGAAGGCCUUCGGGUUGUAAAGCUCUUUUGUCCGGAACGAAACGGUUAGGUCUAAUAAGCCUGACUACUGACGGUACCGGAAGAAUAAGCACCGGCUAACUACGUGCCAGCAGCCGCGGUAAUACGUAGGGUGCGAGCGUUAAUCGGAAUUACUGGGCGUAAAGCGUGCGCAGGCGGUUUUGUAAGCCAGAUGUGAAAGCCCCGGGCUUAACCUGGGAAUGGCAUUUGGGACUGCAAGGCUUGAGUGCGGCAGAGGAGACUGGAAUUCCUGGUGUAGCAGUGAAAUGCGUAGAUAUCAGGAGGAAUACCGAUGGCGAAGGCAGGUCUCUGGGCUGACACUGACGCUCAUGCACGAAAGCGUGGGGAGCAAACAG
RNAcentral lists this ribosomal RNA (428 nucleotides) under uncultured bacterium. RNAcentral describes it as "bacterial SSU rRNA". It matches the Rfam family "Bacterial small subunit ribosomal RNA", at positions 355 to 775 of the family's 1533-position model. The record is from RNAcentral.